UACGUAGGGGGCAAGCGUUGUCCGGAAUUACUGGGCGUAAAGGGCGCGUAGGCGGCCUUCUAAGUCGAACGUGAAAUCCCUGGGCUCAACCCAGGAACUGCGUCCGAUACUGGAAGGCUUGAAUCCGGGAGAGGGAUGCGGAAUUCCAGGUGUAGCGGUGAAAUGCGUAGAUAUCUGGAGGAACACCGGUGGCGAAGGCGGCAUCCUGGACCGGUAUUGACGCUGAGGCGCGAAAGCCAGGGGAGCAAACGGG
This 253-nucleotide ribosomal RNA is filed under the name uncultured bacterium. RNAcentral's name for it is "partial 16S ribosomal RNA". It matches the Rfam family "Bacterial small subunit ribosomal RNA", at positions 524 to 776 of the family's 1533-position model. The record is from RNAcentral.